Molecule: ribosomal RNA, 301 nt
Filed under: uncultured bacterium
Lineage: Bacteria
Description: partial 16S ribosomal RNA
Rfam family: Bacterial small subunit ribosomal RNA
Source: RNAcentral
CAGUCGCCGCGGUAAGACAGAGGAUGCAAGCGUUAUCCGGAAUGAUUGGGCGUAAAGCGUCUGUAGGUGGCUUUUCAAGUCCGCCGUCAAACCCCAGGGCUCAACCCUGGACAGGCGGUGGAAACUACCAAGCUGGAGUACGGUAGGGGCAGAGGGAAUUUCCAGUGGAGCGGUGAAAUGCGUUGAGAUCGAAAAGAACACCAACAGCGAAAGCACUCUGCUGGGACGACACUGACACUAAGAGACGAAAGCUAGGGGAGCAAAUGGGAUUAGAUACCCGGGUAGUCCCUGUCUCUUAUAC